AUUAUAAAAGAAAAAAUUGUAUACAGAUUCAAAUUGAACCUCCUUUUUUGCCUUUAGCUCCACCACUGGUCCCAAAUAAUCAUUAAUUUCUACAUACAGAUUCAUUAUUUCGCAGAAUCAUUUAGUUCAUUUGCCUUCUCUACACUAUUGAAACACGAAAGCAUAAGCACUUGCAAGAAGGUGAAAUGAAACUCUAAAGUGUCUAGAGGAAGUUUUAUCGCGAAAAUGUCACAGAGGGAAGUUUUUGUCAGAGCAGAUAAAACCCAUGUAACAAAUAACAUGAAUUACUCGGAUAUAUUUUCCUUCUCUACACUAUUGAAACACGAAAGCAUAAGCACUUACAAGAAGGUGAAAUGAAACUCUAAAGUGUCUAGAGGAAGUUUUAUCGCGAAAAUGUCACAGAGGGAAGUUUUUGUCAGAGCAGAUAAAACCCAUGUAACAAAUAACAUGAAUUACUCGGAUAAUAACAUAAAUCUUACUCCUAUUUAACAAGUAGUAGUCACAUUCUAG
This 510-nucleotide long non-coding RNA is filed under the name Nicotiana benthamiana. RNAcentral describes it as "long non-coding RNA (NBEN_LNC015459)". Lineage: Eukaryota; Viridiplantae; Streptophyta; Magnoliopsida; Solanales; Solanaceae. The record is from RNAcentral.